GGGUUGUGAGGUUAAGCGACUAAGCGUACACGGUGGAUGCCCUGGCAGUCAGAGGCGAUGAAGGGCGUGCUAAUCUGCGAUAAGCGCCGGUAAGGUGAUAUGAACCGUUAUAACCGGCGAUACCCGAAUGGGGAAACCCAGUGUGACUCGUCACACUAUCAUUAACUGAAUCCAUAGGUUAAUGAGGCGAACCGGGGGAACUGAAACAUCUAAGUACCCCGAGGAAAAGAAAUCAACCGAGAUUCCCCCAGUAGCGGCGAGCGAACGGGGAGGAGCCCAGAGCCUGAAUCAGCAUGUGUGUUAGUGGAAGCGUCUGGAAAGGCGCGCGAUACAGGGUGACAGCCCCGUACACAAAAGCGCAUGUGCUGUGAGCUCGAUGAGUAGGGCGGGACACGUGGUAUCCUGUCUGAAUAUGGGGGGACCAUCCUCCAAGGCUAAAUACUCCUGACUGACCGAUAGUGAACCAGUACCGUGAGGGAAAGGCGAAAAGAACCCCGGCGAGGGGAGUGAAAAAGAACCUGAAACCGUGUACGUACAAGCAGUGGGAGCACCCUGUGUGACUGCGUACCUUUUGUAUAAUGGGUCAGCGACUUAUAUUCUGUAGCAAGGUUAACCGUAUAGGGGAGCCGUAGGGAAACCGAGUCUUAACCGGGCGUUAAGUUGCAGGGUAUAGACCCGAAACCCGGUGAUCUAGCCAUGGGCAGGUUGAAGGUUGGGUAACACUAACUGGAGGACCGAACCGACUAAUGUUGAAAAAUUAGCGGAUGACCUGUGGCUGGGGGUGAAAGGCCAAUCAAACCGGGAGAUAGCUGGUUCUCCCCGAAAGCUAUUUAGGUAGCGCCUCGUGAAUUCAUCUCCGGGGGUAGAGCACUGUUUCGGCUAGGGGGCCAUCCCGGCUUACCAACCCGAUGCAAACUGCGAAUACCGGAGAAUGUUAUCACGGGAGACACACGGCGGGUGCUAACGUCCGUCGUGAAGAGGGAAACAACCCAGACCGCCAGCUAAGGUCCCAAAGUCAUGGUUAAGUGGGAAACGAUGUGGGAAGGCCCAGACAGCCAGGAUGUUGGCUUAGAAGCAGCCAUCAUUUAAAGAAAGCGUAAUAGCUCACUGGUCGAGUCGGCCUGCGCGGAAGAUGUAACGGGGCUAAACCAUGCACCGAAGCUGCGGCAGCGACACUCAGGUGUUGUUGGGUAGGGGAGCGUUCUGUAAGCCUGUGAAGGUGGCCUGUGAGGGUUGCUGGAGGUAUCAGAAGUGCGAAUGCUGACAUAAGUAACGAUAAAGCGGGUGAAAAGCCCGCUCGCCGGAAGACCAAGGGUUCCUGUCCAACGUUAAU
Molecule: ribosomal RNA, 1333 nt
Filed under: Salmonella enterica subsp. enterica serovar Virchow
Lineage: Bacteria; Pseudomonadati; Pseudomonadota; Gammaproteobacteria; Enterobacterales; Enterobacteriaceae
Description: partial 23S ribosomal RNA
Rfam family: Bacterial large subunit ribosomal RNA
Source: RNAcentral